This 446-nucleotide ribosomal RNA is filed under the name uncultured bacterium. Its description in RNAcentral is "partial 16S ribosomal RNA". It matches the Rfam family "Bacterial small subunit ribosomal RNA", at positions 338 to 795 of the family's 1533-position model. The record is from RNAcentral.
CCUACGGGAGGCAGCAGUCGAGAAUCAUUCACAAUGGGGGAAACCCUGAUGGUGCGACGCCGCGUGGGGGAAUGAAGGUCUUCGGAUUGUAAACCCCUGUCAUGUGGGAGCAAAUUAAAAAGAUAGUACCACAAGAGGAAGAGACGGCUAACUCUGUGCCAGCAGCCGCGGUAAGACAGAGGUCUCAAGCGUUGUUCGGAUUCACUGGGCGUAAAGCGUGCGUAGGCUGUUUCGUAAGUCGUGUGUGAAAGGCGCGGGCCCAACCCGCGGACGGCACAUGAUACUGCGAGACUAGAGUAAUGGAGGGGGAACCGGAAUUCUCGGUGUAGCAGUGAAAUGCGUAGAUAUCGAGAGGAACACUCGUGGCGAAGGCGGGUUCCUGGACAUUAACUGACGCUGAGGCACGAAGGCCAGGGGAGCGAAAGGGAUUAGAUACCCUUGUAGUC